RNAcentral lists this non-coding RNA (26 nucleotides) under Homo sapiens (human). Lineage: Eukaryota; Metazoa; Chordata; Mammalia; Primates; Hominidae. The record is from RNAcentral.
UAAUGGCUGCAACCUGAAUUGUGGGC